GGCAGAGGAGUUCAUAGAGAAUAUGGGAAGUCAUCAGAGGCUUUUGAGUCAGAGACUGAUAACAUCACCAAAACUAUAUUGUAAGAUGAGUAAUCCAUUAGUUAUUAGGUAGGGAGGUUUGAGGCAAAGAGGAGGACAGACUGAAGUCAUAAGGACUUUUGAAGUAAGGAAUGAGAAAGGUGACAGUGGGAACUGGAGCGCAGGAAUGGAGAGGAGCUUCACUGUGGAGAUUCUGGUCCACAAGUCCCUUGCUCAGAGGGGUCCCAAGGCACCAAUCCAGGGUGAAUUCUAACACUGCCUCUGCUUGGGUCUUCACUUGACCUUUCAAGAGGAGCUGCUCACUCUCUGGACCUCGUUUACUCUUUCCUGACUGAAAGUGGCACACGCAGUUCCAGCAAACGGAAGUAGGAGCAGAAAUGCUGUGUAGCCCAUGUUUGGGCUCCCCUGGCUUUGCCUCUCCUUUCCUCCACCUGGCCACAAGCCAAGCUGGUUUUCAGUGGCUGCUCCUGUUUCUAGGAUGGAUACUCCCCUCCCCACCCCCUGCUAUUAUGAUGGAAUUGGGGCAUCUGGUGAGGCAUCAGAGUUGGACAACCAGCUGCCACAGCUGUAGUUUGAUCUCCAGGGCAUAGAAUCUCUGGAAACUCUAAAUCCCAAGGUCAAGAAAUCCACCUCUGCUCCUUCUCAGCCAGCAGCAGCAUUCCCAAUCACAGCUCUUCCCCAGGUAAACAAUGAAUGUGAGCGUCUUCAGGAGAGGGUGGAAGGAGGGCAGUCUUAGAAAGACCCCGACAGAGAGAUGGAUAGACAAAACAACUACAGCACAGAAGAAACUAUCUAUGCCACAAGGGGAACGAUGAUGCUGUGACCAGCUAGAAAGAAACAGCCAAGCAGAUGUGGAUCACUUUGGAGAAAAACUCUCAUGGGUGGUAUCCUGGAUUCAGGAAAGGGAUCAAGUGUGGGGAGUAGCCAAAGGAAAUCCUGCACCUCAGCAACAACUUCAGUGCUUUGAGCAGAGGGAACAGAAUGGCUUUCUUUCACCUCAGAGAAAGUGAGUUUGCAGCAGCUGCCCAGCCCCAAGACUUGAGAGGUGGAAUGGGUUGAAGAACAAGCAGGUGGGAACACAUCACUUUUGGCACAUCCCCGAGUUCUAGAAAAAGUGAA
Molecule: long non-coding RNA, 1158 nt
Filed under: Equus asinus (donkey)
Lineage: Eukaryota; Metazoa; Chordata; Mammalia; Perissodactyla; Equidae
Description: lncRNA (ENSEASG00005024953.1)
Source: RNAcentral